AUUGAGCGCUGGCGGCAGGCCUAACACAUGCAAGUCGAACGGUAACAGGGAUCAGCUUGCUGAUUCGCUGACGAGUGGCGGACGGGUGAGUAAUGUCUGGGAAACUGCCUGAUGGAGGGGGAUAACUACUGGAAACGGUAGCUAAUACCGCAUAACGUCGCAAGACCAAAGAGGGGGACAUUCGGGCCUCUUGCCAUCGGAUGUGCCCAGAUGGGAUUAGCUAGUAGGUGGGGUAACGGCUCACCUAGGCGACGAUCCCUAGCUGGUCUGAGAGGAUGACCAGCCACACUGGAACUGAGACACGGUCCAGACUCCUACGGGAGGCAGCAGUGGGGAAUAUUGCACAAUGGGCGCAAGCCUGAUGCAGCCAUGCCGCGUGUAUGAAGAAGGCCUUCGGGUUGUAAAGUACUUUCAGCGGGGAGGAAGGGAGUAAAGUUAAUACCUUUGCUCAUUGACGUUACCCGCAGAAGAAGCACCGGCUAACUCCGU
Molecule: ribosomal RNA, 489 nt
Filed under: uncultured bacterium
Lineage: Bacteria
Description: partial 16S ribosomal RNA
Rfam family: Bacterial small subunit ribosomal RNA
Source: RNAcentral